CGUGAUUAUACAGAUGUGGGAAACGCCUUGCUCCAUUCCGAACCAAGAAGCUAAGCACAUCGUGGGUGAUGAUACUACGCCUUACUGGCAGGGG
This 94-nucleotide ribosomal RNA is filed under the name Campylobacter jejuni subsp. jejuni. The record is from RNAcentral. Lineage: Bacteria; Pseudomonadati; Campylobacterota; Epsilonproteobacteria; Campylobacterales; Campylobacteraceae.